RNAcentral lists this ribosomal RNA (253 nucleotides) under uncultured bacterium. RNAcentral describes it as "partial 16S ribosomal RNA". It matches the Rfam family "Bacterial small subunit ribosomal RNA", at positions 524 to 776 of the family's 1533-position model. The record is from RNAcentral.
UACGGAGGGUGCGAGCGUUGUCCGGAAUCAUUGGGCGUAAAGAGCGUGUAGGCGGUCCGGUAAGUCCGCUGUGAAAGUCGGGGGCUCAACCCUCGAAUGCCGGUGGAUACUGUCGGGCUAGAGUGCGGAAGAGGCGAGUGGAAUUCCUGGUGUAGCGGUGAAAUGCGCAGAUAUCAGGAGGAACACCUAUUGCGAAGGCAGCUCGCUGGGACGUAACUGACGCUGAGACGCGAAAGCGUGGGGAGCAAACAGG